GCUGACAUUGUUUUUUGAGCUGGUAAUAGUUGGCAUUUCUUCGUGAGGGAGAGCUGGCAAUACUGUUUUUCAUGCCCAAGGAAAGGCUUAGGUAGUCUUACGCUUGACAAAUUAAACGGAUCAAUGAACACUUACUCUGACCUCUGCCGUGUGCAUAACUAAACUCAAUCCUCCCUGUCAUCCCUGCCCUGUUGUGCCGUGUCCUCUGCUGCCCCGCGUCGCCCCGCCAGUGCCCCAUCAGGACGUCAUUGUCUCCAGUCGUGUGGUCCAGUGAGUCACCGCUCUACCGCACGACAGUGACCCCAAGGAAGUCCCGGUCCACAGCAGGGAUGUGGCCACCCCUGGCCACAGCCCCAAGUGUUCCCUGGUGGGCCAUACUCACUGAGCUCCUCCUCCUCCUCCUCCUCCUCACCCGGCUGCCGUGGAAGGAGUCACCACAGCUGUCAGCAGAACAACUUGGAGCGUCCGCCCUUCCUGCCACCAGUGGUCGGAGACUCUCUCUUCACCACACGGUCUGCAUGUCAGCAAGGCACUACAUCGGACUCCACUACAACCUCUACAACCUCCACAACCUCUACGGACUGUCAGAGACGAGUGCCACCAAUGCAUAAGUCUAUGAUGCUCAGAGUUUUAGGUGCAGGGAGGGAUAUGCUGACAGUAAGUUUGUGGUAUGCAUUCAAUAUGGGCACAGUACAUUAGUGAUGUGCUUGUAGUAAGUUUGUGGUGUGCAUUUAGUAUCGUUACAAUGUAUUAAUGAUAUACCCAAGUCAUUGGCAAGAGGAAAUACAGAUGAAGGAAGGCUGUUUUUCUUUCAGAGUUUACCAGCCAAAGGGAUGAAAGAAUGAAGAUGCUGGCUGGCUGACUCCUGCAUAAGGGAUUAGGGCAGCAUAGGGAUGAGCCAGUGUUUAAAAUGAUGGACGGUAGGGGUUGAGGCAUGCAGCUACCGAGUUCAGGAGUGCCCGCCAGUCCUCUUUCUUAUAACAUAUCAAUACUUUCAUUUAGUAUCUAUCAAUAUGGCCAUUACUUGUUGCCAGACCCCUGCAGGGUGUGGGAGCCAGGCGGCCAUUCAUCACUUCCCGCUCGUCCUUCCCCGGCCAGGGCCACUACGGGGGCCACUGGACGGGCCACGUGUGCUCCCACUGCUUCAACAUGUGGCACUCCACCGCAGUUGGUAGGCCUUCUUUAGGGGCCUGGUGGUCGGCCCGAGCCCAUCAUGGAGCAGGGCAGGUGGCGGCUCUGUCCAAACAGACACCCUCACCGAUGCUGAGGAGGCCAUGGCGCAGGUGCUGGACCCUGC
RNA transcript from Eriocheir sinensis (Chinese mitten crab), 1297 nucleotides. RefSeq lists it as uncharacterized. The transcript has 5 exons. Lineage: Eukaryota; Metazoa; Arthropoda; Malacostraca; Decapoda; Varunidae. The record is from RefSeq and is a predicted model, not a curated record.